Molecule: ribosomal RNA, 411 nt
Filed under: uncultured bacterium
Lineage: Bacteria
Description: bacterial SSU rRNA
Rfam family: Bacterial small subunit ribosomal RNA
Source: RNAcentral
UCAGCCGCCGCGGUAAUACGGAGGGUGCAAGCGUUAUCCGGAUUCACUGGGUUUAAAGGGAGCGUAGGUGGACUUUUAAGUCAGUGGUGAAAUCUCUGGGCUUAACCCGGAAACUGCCAUUGAUACUAUUAGUCUUGAAUUCUCUGGAGGUAAGCGGAAUAUGUCAUGUAGCGGUGAAAUGCUUAGAUAUGACAUAGAACACCCAUUGCGAAGGCAGCUUACUACGGAGACAUUGACACUGAGGCUCGAAAGCGUGGGGAUCAAACAGGAUUAGAUACCCUGGUAGUCCACGCCCUAAACGAUGAUUACUCGACAUUAGCGAUAUUACUGUUAGUGUCUAAGCGAAAGCAUUAAGUAAUCCACCUGGGAAGUACGACCGCAAGGUUGAAACUUAAAGGAAUUGGCGGGGGA